GGCCACCACGUCCCCAUGGCCACCAUGACCCCAAGGCCACCACAUCCCCAAGGCCACCACGUCCCUUGUCCCCGAGCCCGGUCACGUGGCACACACAGGUUUGGGGGGAAGCGCCUUUAUUCCAUGCAUCAGAGGGGGACAAGGGACGGGGGUGGGGGGUGGGGACAUCCCAAAGAGGACAGGGACGGGACAGGGAGGUUUGGGGACACCUGGGGAAGUUGGGGACAUCCCAAGGGGGACAACAACGGGAUGAAGAGGUUUGGGGUCACCCCAAGAAGGAAGGGAUGAGAUUUGGGGUCAUCCCGAGGAGCAGAAGAACGGGACGAGGAGGUUUGGGGUCACCACAAGAAGGACAGGAUGAGAUUUGGGGUCACCCCAAGAAGGACGGGAUGAGAUUUGGGGUCACCCCAAGAAGGACGGGAUGAGAUUUGGGGUCACCCCAAGAAGGACGGGACGAGGAGAUUUGGGGUCACCCCAAGAAGGACGGGAUGAGGAGGUUUGGGGUCACCCCAAGAAGGACAGGAUGAGAUUUGGGGUCAUCCCAUGGAGGAGAAGGACGGGACGAGGAGGUUUGGGGGUCACCCCAAGGAGGACGGGACGAGAUUUGGGGUCACCCCAAGAAGGAUGGGACGAGGAGAUUUGGGGUCACCCCAAGAAGGACAGGAUGAGAUUUGGGGUCAUCCCAUGGCGGAGAAGGACGGGAUGAAGACAUUUGGGGUCACCCCAAGAAGGACGGGAUGAGAUUUGGGGUCAUCCCAUGGCGGAAAAGGGCGGGCUGAGAUUUGGGGUCACCCCAAGAAGGAUGGGAUGAGAUUUGGGGUCAUCCCAUGGCGGAGA
Molecule: long non-coding RNA, 837 nt
Filed under: Numida meleagris (helmeted guineafowl)
Lineage: Eukaryota; Metazoa; Chordata; Aves; Galliformes; Numididae
Description: lncRNA (ENSNMEG00000001525.1)
Source: RNAcentral